AAUCAACGCUGGCGGCGUGCCUCAGACAUGCAAGUCGAACGAUUAAAGCUCUCUUCGGAGAGUGUAUAGAGUGGCGCACGGGUGAGUAACACGUAAGUAAUCUACCCUCGAGUGGGGAAUAACAACCGGAAACGGUUGCUAAUACCGCAUAAUGCAGCGGCACCGCAAGGUGACAGUUGUUAAAGAUUUAUCGCUUGAGGAGGAGCUUGCGGCAGAUUAGCUAGUUGGUAGGGUAACGGCUUACCAAGGCUACGAUCUGUAACAGGUCUAAGAGGACGGUCGGUCACACUGACACUGAAUAACGGGUCAGACUCCUACGGGAGGCAGCAGUCGGGAAUUUUGGGCAAUGGGCGAAAGCCUGACCCAGCAACGCCGCGUGAAGGAUGAAGUAUUUCGGUAUGUAAACUUCGAAAGAAUAGGAAGAAUUAAUGACGGUACUAUUUAUAAGGUCCGGCUAACUACGUG
Molecule: ribosomal RNA, 465 nt
Filed under: uncultured bacterium
Lineage: Bacteria
Description: bacterial SSU rRNA
Rfam family: Bacterial small subunit ribosomal RNA
Source: RNAcentral